UACGAAGGGGGCUAGCGUUGCUCGGAUUGACUGGGCGUAAAGGGCGCGUAGGCGGUUUGUACAGUCAGACGUGAAAUUCCCGGGCUCAACCUGGGGGCUGCGUUUGAUACGUGUAGACUUGAGUUCGGAAGAGGGUCGUGGAAUUCCCAGUGUAGAGGUGAAAUUCGUAGAUAUUGGGAAGAACACCGGUGGCGAAGGCGGCGACCUGGUCCGGUACUGACGCUGAGGUGCGAAAGCGUGGGGAGCAAACAGG
RNAcentral lists this ribosomal RNA (253 nucleotides) under uncultured bacterium. RNAcentral's name for it is "partial 16S ribosomal RNA". It matches the Rfam family "Bacterial small subunit ribosomal RNA", at positions 524 to 776 of the family's 1533-position model. The record is from RNAcentral.